UGGGGAAUUUUGGACAAUGGGCGCAAGCCUGAUCCAGCCAUGCCGCGUGAGUGACGAAGGUCUUCGGAUUGUAAAACUCUUUUGGCGGGGACGAUAAUGACGGUACCCGCAGAAUAAGCCCCGGCUAACUUCGUGCCAGCAGCCGCGGUAAUACGAAGGGGGCUAGCGUUGUUCGGAAUCACUGGGCGUAAAGCGCACGUAGGCGGAUGUGCCAGUCAGGGGUGAAAUCCCGGAGCUCAACUCCGGAACUGCCUCUGAUACUGCACGUCUUGAGUUCGAGAGAGGUGUGUGGAAUUCCUAGUGUAGAGGUGAAAUUCGUAGAUAUUAGGAAGAACACCGGUGGCGAAGGCGGCCCACUGGCUCGAUACUGACGCUGAGGUGCGAAAGCGUGGGGAGCAAACAGGAUUAGAUACCCAAGUAGUCCCUGAGCGGGCUGGCAAGGCGCAU
RNAcentral lists this ribosomal RNA (447 nucleotides) under uncultured bacterium. Its description in RNAcentral is "bacterial SSU rRNA". It matches the Rfam family "Bacterial small subunit ribosomal RNA", at positions 355 to 825 of the family's 1533-position model. The record is from RNAcentral.